Long non-coding RNA from Lagopus leucura (white-tailed ptarmigan), 6443 nucleotides. RefSeq lists it as uncharacterized. The record is from RefSeq and is a predicted model, not a curated record. The transcript is spliced from 3 exons. NCBI's taxonomy places the organism in Eukaryota, Metazoa, Chordata, Aves, Galliformes, Phasianidae.
GGAAAAGGCCCUCCGCGGGGUCCUGCUCUUGAAGGAGGGCCUGGUGCGCCGCUCCCGCGUCCUCUCAGCGCCUCGGGCUGCGGUUGCAGAGUUCCAUUAUAAGUAUUAGUAAUGGGCUCAUGGUGUAAAAACCUCUCUGCGUGUUAUCAGAUUUUGGAGUUAGAAGUUAGGUGAAUCAAAACGCGGAGUGCUUUGUAAUAAUUAAGUUUAGUAUGUCUUGGUAAAAAUGAAUUUGAUCUCUUUGGGACUGAUAAUUAAACCUUGAAGCAGGCCGGAGUGCUAGAAGUCUUUCGUGUGUUUGUACAUCACCUUCCAUCAGGGCCGCAAAGCAUCCAUCUCCUGUGAGCAGGGGUUUGUGCUGACUGCUGUGCCUUGGUGGUAGGCACUAAGAAGACUGUGGGUGAGGCACAAUCUGUGGAGUCAUCUUGCUGUCUGUCAGGUGCUCCUGCCCUGCAGAGAGCUGCAAAAAGAUAUUUGCUGAAUCACCCUGGCUUGAUUUAACAUGCAGUCUAGCAUAAGGAUAGCUUGGAGAACCUAUGCUGAGCACUACAAUGUCAGCCUCUCCUGCCCUUGGGUGGGAAUUAAUGGAAACUGCUUUUGCUUAGUGACAUUCACAACCCAAUUGGAGAGAUAAGGCUAAGUUUGUCAACCAUUUUUUUAGGAAGAGCUUUGAUCGCUGUCAAGUGAAGCCUUAAUAAUAGCUAAUGUGCUUCUUAAUUAAUUUGUCUCAAGGGAUGAGUACUAUGCAUGUGGUACUGGGAUCCUGCAUAGAAACUGCCCUGUGAAAUCACCAAGAGGAGUAAAAAUUCCUCUCCGCAUCUGUGUAGUAGGAAUUUCUCAAUCAAAGUAAGAAAUGAAGUUGGUCUGAAGCCACCCUGAGAUGUAAAAUCUCUAUGAAGCAGAUAUUUUCCUUGCUGAUAAUGCUGACUUUCCAAGGGCAGCUGAAACAUAGAAGAAAGAGAAAAAAUCCUAAAUGGACCAAAGAUUUGUGUAUGGGAAGAAGAGUUUGAGUAUUUGAAGAUCUUGAGGGCUUUACUGAAAAGAAAAAGGCAAUUUUGAAAAGAACUAGAUGGCAAAGUACUACACAAAGCAGGGAGGGCAAGCAGCUAUGUGGAAGAACAAGCAAACUGAAGGUGAAGGAAACUGAAGGUGAGCCCAAAGAGGAGAGGAUUUCAAAGUCUCUGAUUCUUGUAAUAUGUGUGAGAAGAAUCCCAUUGAUUUUAAGAGACUUGAUUUUGUACAGAGAUGAUUCCAAGACAGGAAUGCUGUUUCUACUGUGCCAGAAAAUAUGGAUGACUUCAGCAGCACUGAUAUUUCAGAUAAACUGAGGGGACUGGAAAGAAUCUUUAAGACAACAAUCAAAAAUCAAACAAAACACAAGAAACACAUAAGCUAAAUACUGUUACAGUCAGAGUAAAAUCUUAAUGAGGCAAUAAAUGCAGCAGAGACCCUUAUUUGAGCUGUGGGGACAUGAGUAACUGUGGAUUAAAAAAAUCCAGGAAGGAAGCACUGCGUGUGUGUGGGAAGAAAGAAAACAGAAUUUUCAGAAAAUACUAAGUCUGAGGUACUCCUAAGUACUCCUAAGUGCAAGGAGGUGACCCAGAAACAAAGUGAAGCAACUGUGAAGGAAAAACAGCAUUUAAAAUGAAUUCUUCUACAUUGAUGUAGUAGAUGAAUCAUGGAAUUGGAUAAGAUCCUACUAUGAACACAGCAGGUGGAGAAAAAAACAGUGAGGGUGGAGGCUGGGAUGGUAAUAGAGACAUCUUAAGAGAGUUAGAGUCCAUGGCAGCAAUGGAUUAAUUAAUUUCCUCUGUGGUCAUGUGCUAGGUAGCUUUGAUUGUGCUUCUGAUGAGCAAGUGCUAACUCCAAUCACCAGAAAGGAAUCUCUGUAAGCAAAUUACUGCUACCAUUUCACACUGAGUAGCAACAUUUCCUGCAUUCAGGAAGGCAGCAAAGUGUUCACUGUGGUUUGAGAUGAUUCAGGGUUAACGCUCCUACUCUAGUUUACAGAAGUAGCCCUGGAAUCUGUCUAGGGCCAUAAGGAGCUUGAAAUCAGAGAAACCUGUACAGCCAAACAGCAGCAUCUUGUGCCUGCAAGCCCAGGCACAAUCCAUCUCUUUAUGGAUAUCCUCAGUGCACAGGCACAGGGAGGAAGACAAGGUAGUGCACAAACCAGAUCUUACCUUACAAAAAUACAGCGGAGCUUGACAAGAAAGGGCCUGAAAAUAUCGAAGGGUUUAAAAUGGUGUAAAAUUCAACUGAUCCUCUUUUGUUCACAGAAUGAAAGAAUGGAGAAAUUGCCCUUGUGGCUCUGGCUGGCCUUUUAAAUGACCACUUUAACCAUGCAUUUAUACAAUUAAUUUGGAAUUAGCAGAAUACUGAAUGCAAAAUGUUUUUUUAAUUAACUUAGUAACAUCACGCUAAAGGAGAACAUCUGUGAACCAUAUUUUAAGGAGAUGGCUAUUAAAUAAAGAUAAGCUGUGUUUGUUUUUUUCCCCACUAAACAAUGGUCACAUACCACUUGUACUUUAUAACAGAUUUUAUUUUCUGUGUACAAGAUUCCUGUGCUUUACUGAAUUCAACAUUAGGUAUGUUUUCAAAGGCAAAUACAGAUAAACCAGAAAAAAAACCAACAAAACUAUUAGGCCUUUUUGUUAGUCCAAAUAUGCUCAUCUUGAUAUCUCAGAAGGUAUAUAUUAAGAUAAAGCAAGUAUAUUUAUAACUUUUAAUUGAGAAAAGGGACAUAGCCUAGUGCUGUGUCCAAUGCAGGUAUAUUUGCCUUGUACUUACCCACUUGUCUGCAAUUGCAGGUUAAACAAAGAUGAUGAUCUGUUCCCUUUUGCAACAAAGAGACUGUUAGCUUCUACUGUGCAAAGUGUUCUGGGUAUACCUAUCUAUUAUGAAGGUUUUUAAUAACAGCAGCUGAAGUAUCAUAGUGGAAACUACCCAGUUUUUCCUGCUUAUGUAAACUCACUAAAAUCAUCUGGAAAAUACUUUCUUAGCGUGGGACAAAUUGCUCAGCUUCCAUUUAGUAGUAAGUUUUGCUGACUGUGACAUAUUUGAGAACAUAAGCUACAAGUGGGUAUUAGAGAUAGGUUUGCAGGACAAAUUAACCAAACUCUGGACACCCAUAAUAAGCAAGAAUCCCCAUGUGGAUUUGCUGACUGAGCAGCACCUUCUCAAACAGGGCUGGCAUCUGUUUAACCUGUUGCUACUGUUGUGAGGAAACUUCUUAGAGGAUUUUUCUGUUUUUUUUUUAAUGAAUGGAUAUUUAUUGGCUUUCCAGAUGACAUUGCUAGUCCUCAUAAACAGGAUGUUUACUUUGCACAUAAUAGAAAGUGUAAACAGAAAUACGAGCAUCAGUAUAUGCUCACUUCUUCAAUGGUGAUCCAACUCCUGCCUUCUAAAACAAAGUCCCGUUGUUGUCAAUUUGCACUUCCAUUCUGCACCAUUUGUAGAUAUUCCUUGUAUAGUUUUUCUUGGGUCUCAUAAAGUUUCUUUAGCUUCUUAAUUUGUCCUUUGCUGAGUUCUUUGCCUUCUGUAUCAUGCGUGGGAAAUCCCUAAAAUAUUAAAAAAAAAAAAAAAAAAGAAUAUUUUGGAUAAAUUUUGGACUGCUUUUGUUCCUUAGAGAAUUCUGUUCUCUUUUUGUCUGGCGUAGGAGGAUAAUGUCAAUUAAUGACAAACUGUCAGAAUGAGGUGCAUUUUGGUUAAUUUAGUCUACUUGUGUAUGUUCCCUUUCAAGUUAAUGAAGGGACAGAGGAUGAUGUUUGUUUUCUGGUCUCUACUAAGUAAGGGAAGCAUAAACUAAUUUCUAGAUGUUUAUAGUUAAGAGAAUAAUAGCUAAUCUAUAAACAGAUGGUUAAAAGACCACUUUUAAUGAUACUAGCAUAUCAAUCCCAAGGCUUAAAGCAAAAGUCCUUAGAGUUUUUUGUACUUGAUGGAGAAAAUGCAUUCAGUUUUUACAAAUCUUCUGCCAGGCUUAUGUGCAUAUUUUCCUGUGCUUUCAUUCUUUAUUCUUACUUAUCCCGAGGGCCUGAGUUUGAAUGGGUGAAAAGGACAGGCAGAAAUAGGAUCAAACACUGAAGAAACAGUGCUUUGUUUUCCAAAUAAUGGCUUUUAUUCUCACAGGAGCAACCAGAGCCAAGUUACCAGUACAGCUCCUUAUCACAGGAUGGAGGAGGGGAGCAGAAUAGUGUCUGUUUCCAUCAGUUGGGAUGGAUGAUCAGCUUUGUAGACAUAUAAUCAAAUAUGUGUGGAGGGGGAAGGAAAACCACUCCGUGUUUAAAGAUAAGUUUCUUACAUUUUCAUCAAACUUGGAAUAUUUGUCAUGUUCCGAUUUAAACAUUUCAUGGGGUGGAAUCUUCAUUUUUGCCAGUUUUGCUGCCUGUAAUACAAAGCAUGAUUAACUGCAUUAGCAUCAUAAAUAAUUACUGACAACCUAUCUUUUAAAAAAGCCAUUCCUGAACACGUGCAAAUGGAAGAGUAGAUCAUAAUUUGCAAAUCAAAGAACAUUUAAUUCACAAUUGUUCAUUACGAGAAAAGCAACUUUCAGUGAAGAACAACUCAAUAAAUCUUAGCUGUGUUUGUCCAGGAAAAUAAAGAUAAGUUGAUAUCUUACAUUUGCAGAGAACUGCUUUGUAAAAUGGUUGUAUUGCAGGAACCUGAAACAACUCUAAACAUGCUCUAAAAACAACAUCUGUUUUCUGCUUAUUUGGUUCCUUAGUGUUUUAAGUGUAAACAUAAAAUAAAUAUUGCUAUUUGUAAAGAAUGUUUAGCAAGGAUCUCCUGCAAAGGGAACCUUUAUCAACAGUUUCCUGCUGGCAAGAAGAUGUUUCUAAGCAGGUCACAGCAGGAUCAGGAUGCAAGUAAUUGCACUGAAAAUAAAAGCAACUUCUAUUAUUUGUGAAUUAACACAUCUCAGAAAUUUUUCCAACUAAUUUACACCAAUGCAAGGGAAUCAAUUUUCCAAAAGAAUGAAAUGAGCUGCUUGGAAUUUGUGGUCAAUAAAUGCUAUUUGAUUCUUAUUUUUUUCUGACAGUGGUGCUCUUUAAAAGUUUACUUCCUCUUUUAACCAGAAAUGUUUUUCCUGUACUGUCAUCAGUACAGCAAACAAUCUUUUCCUCUUACAAGUUCACCUAUGCUGAACUCCUCACCUGAAUUCUAAAACUUCAGAGCUAUCAGUAUUAAAUGUGCUUUUACAAAAUGCUACAUCUCAGACACAGUUCAGGCACAGACAGCAGGGAGACACUUGAAAAAAUGCCUGUUUUCAUAUAUGCCAGUGACAAUGGAAAGGGAAAAAGCAUAAGCAAAACAUUCUCUAACAGAAACGUAAGGUACUGCUUUGGUAAUUAAGGAAGUAAUACUGUCUACAGACUGAAAUACGUGCUAUAAGGUCUGAGAAAUUUCUGCAGUCUUCACUCUUGUUUUCAAAGAUGGCUGCUCUAUCAAAGGAGCCAUCAAGGAGAUGAAUAUUCAAAUAUAAAUUGCAAGCCAUAUUAAUUUUGAGCAGGAAAACAUAGAAAAGUAAAGAAAUGGAGGCCCAGUUAAGGCUGGGCAGAAAGCCUAUGUUCUAAUACAGUCUUUCUUGCAUGUAACUACUGCUGUUAGAAGUCUUCUUCAGAACCAGAUUCUUUUAAUCUGAACACUUACUUCCUGCUCUUGUUUUUUUCUGGCUGCUUCUUCUUUCUUCCUUUUUUUCUCUUCUUCAAUCUGUGAAAGGCAGUGUUAAUGAGUAAAAGGUAACUGCUUCAUUUGGUUGAUUUCUAUAAAAUCUGAGCCAGCUAGCUCCCCUGGAUAUCUAAUUACAGACAGAUCUGGCAGCAUAACCUACAGCAAAACCACUGUGCCUUGUAAUUAGGAUUGUCUGGUGCUUCUCACUGUAGGACUUUGAUUUCAUUUGUUUUUAAUCUCAGCUGAACUGGUUUUAACUGUUCAGAAUGCAUUUUGCAUGUGAAGUGCAUGCUUAUGAAAAAAUACCUAAAAAACCUGCAAAAUAAACAGUCCUGCCAUUUCACAGGGAAAACCAUUUUGCAAAUGACUUUUAAAAGACCACAUUUCCUUGAUAUUUUAAGUUCUUGCAUCAAACUGCUGUAUCAAUUAAAAUUUACUCAGUGCAUUUUGUUUCCAUGUAGCAAAUAAAUACAGUCUGGUUCAAUUGAACACGUCACCUUCAAUUGUACAGAUGAAAGAAGUCAGAAUCAGUUUCUCAUUGAAAUGAUUAUUUCAGAGAGAUAAGACAGCAGGAAUGCAACAUUCAACAUCCCUUAAUUAUACUAAGAUUUAUAAACAAACAAAAACCAAAAUUUAGAUACAUCCAUGCAGAAUUCUCUAGCAGCUGCUGUUUUAAGAAUCCUUUUCUUGAUUCUUGAACUAUGAUUUCAGUAUCCAUUUUAGUAUAUAAUUUUCUAUGUCACUAGGCUUACAAAUUAUCAGGAAAUGUAAAG